CUUUGCUAUGAGACUCGAAAUUGAGCUCAUGUGCAUCCUGUUUCCAUUGAUCAUCCUUGUUUCCAUUGAUGUUUCUACUCCUUGAUUGGAGUCCACCUGUGAUAAAUUCAGUUGAUUGGACAUGAUUUGGAAAGGCACACACCUGUCUAUAUAAGGUCCCACAGUUGACAGUGCAUGUCAGAGCAAAAACCAAGCCAUGAAGUAGGAGGAAUUGUCCAUAGAGCUCAGAGACAGGAUUGUGUCGAGGCACAGAUAUGGGGAAGGGUACUAAAACAAUUAUGCAACAUUGAAGAUCCCCCAAGAACACAGUGGCCUCCAUCAUUCUUAAAUGGAACAAGUUUGGAACCACGAAGACACUUCCUAGAGCUGGCCGCCCGGCCAAACUGGGCAAUCAGGGAGAAGGGCCUUGACAAGGCACAUGACAAGCCACUUGGGGUUUGCCAAAAGGCACCUAAAGAACUCUCAGACCAUGAGAAACAAGAUUAUCUGGUCUGAUGAAACCUUUGGCUUUGGCCUGAAUGCCAGCGUCACGUCUGGAGGAAACCUGGCACCAUCCCUACGGUGACACAUGGUGGUGGCAGCAUCAUGCUGUGGGGAUGUUUUUCAGAGGCAGGGACUGGGAGACUAGUCAGGAUCAAGGCAAAGAUGAUCGAAGCAAAGUUCAGAGAGAACCUUGAUGAAGAUCUGCUCCAGUGCUGAAGACCUCAGACCGGGACGAAGGUUCACCUUCCAACAGGAAGCACACAGCCAAGACAAUGCAGGAAUGGCUUCGGGACACGUCUUUGAAUGUCCUUGAGUGGCCCAGCCAGAGCCCGGACGUGAACCCGAUCGAAUAUCUCAUGAGAGACCUGAAAAUAGCUGUGCAGCAACGCUCCCCAUCCAACCUGACAGAGUUUGAGAGGAUCUGCAGAGAAGAAUGGGAGAAACUCCCCAAAUACAGGUGUGCCAAGCUUGUAGCGUCAUACCCAAGAAGACUCGAGGCUGUAAUCGCUGCCAAAGGUGCUUCAACAAAGUACUGAGUAAAGGGUCUAAAUACUUAUGGUGGUGGUGGUGGUGGUGAUGAUGGUGCAGAUCAGUGUUUUCCCCGCAGCAUUCACGUGUAGAUGUUGUGUCUGUACUGCAGACAGUCACUCUCUGGUUGGAGCUAGAUCUUCUCCAAGCUCGUCUCCUUUCCUAAGCUGAGUACAAAAGCACAGGUCCAGUCCGCACAAUAACUGAAGCCUUAGACAACUUAUUUCAAGACAAUAAAUGGAUUCUUCAUUUACAUUACAUUUCUUCUUCUUCUGUACAUCCUGUCCAACAACAUCGCAUUUAAAGUGGCUGAUUUUACAUCUUGUAAGGUGUUUAAAAUAACAAAUAUAAUGGAAUCAUUGGAGAGGAAAGUCAGAAAGACUGGCAGGCUGGCAGGUAGAGAGAGACAGAGGUUUGCAGCUCAUUGAGCCACUGAGAGUCUUCAACCAAAACCACAGAAAAUACCUGCUUUUAAAAGAAAGGGUUGAGGACAGCGACCAGUGUUGUCUUUCCUGUGAAACUCAAGUAAAAAAUAAAUAAAAGUAUUAUUCUGCUCCAACCUCC
RNAcentral lists this long non-coding RNA (1575 nucleotides) under Salmo salar (Atlantic salmon). Its description in RNAcentral is "lncRNA (ENSSSAG00000097241.1)". The record is from RNAcentral. Lineage: Eukaryota; Metazoa; Chordata; Actinopteri; Salmoniformes; Salmonidae.